Molecule: long non-coding RNA, 376 nt
Organism: Vidua chalybeata
Lineage: Eukaryota; Metazoa; Chordata; Aves; Passeriformes; Viduidae
Exons: 3
Source: RefSeq, a predicted model, not a curated record
AGACAAGAAAGACUUCUGGUAGUAGCCAAAAUAUCUAAUGGAAAGCUCUUCACUUUAUUAGCUGUGGCACCUCAGCAUAAGGAAUCAGAGCUGUGGAUGGAUCACCUGCAAUCCCACAGAGGGAGGGAGCUCCCCACACCUUCCUACCAUGACAGCCUAAAUGAGCUCUCAGGUUGACAUCGAUUGACGUCAGACUUUAAAAAUGCUUCAAUCAAGAUCUCUAUAAUCCUCGUAAGUAAAACGUCUUUGUUCUGUUUUAUGAUCAAACAUUUCUGAAAAUAGAGCCACCAGCCCCAGCAAGCACUCAGGAUGCUCAGAGGUGAGUUAAGGCACAAUAAAAAACUCAGUAAUCUCCCAAAUCUCCUCAGAGAACACG